Molecule: ribosomal RNA, 431 nt
Filed under: uncultured bacterium
Lineage: Bacteria
Description: bacterial SSU rRNA
Rfam family: Bacterial small subunit ribosomal RNA
Source: RNAcentral
GUGGGGAAUUUUGGACAAUGGGGGCAACCCUGAUCCAGCCAUGCCGCGUGCGGGAAGAAGGCCUUCGGGUUGUAAACCGCUUUUGUCAGGGACGAAAAGCUCCGGAGUAAUAUGCCGGAGUGCUGACGGUACCUGAAGAAUAAGCACCGGCUAACUACGUGCCAGCAGCCGCGGUAAUACGUAGGGUGCGAGCGUUAAUCGGAAUUACUGGGCGUAAAGCGUGCGCAGGCGGUUGGGUAAGACAGAUGUGAAAUCCCCGGGCUUAACCUGGGAACUGCAUUUGUGACUGUCCGACUGGAGUACGUCAGAGGGGGGUGGAAUUCCACGUGUAGCAGUGAAAUGCGUAGAUAUGUGGAAGAACACCGAUGGCGAAGGCAGCCCCCUGGGACGCAACUGACGCUCAUGCACGAAAGCGUGGGGAGCAAACAGGA